This is a long non-coding RNA of Carassius carassius (crucian carp), 2017 nucleotides long. RefSeq lists it as uncharacterized. The transcript is spliced from 2 exons. The record is from RefSeq and is a predicted model, not a curated record. Lineage: Eukaryota; Metazoa; Chordata; Actinopteri; Cypriniformes; Cyprinidae.
GGAAGUGUUAGAAGUGUCCUUUUGUGUCAGAAAGACUUUACAAAAUGUUGAGAAGGAAUCCUAAGCUGAUUCCAACAACUAAGAAAGGUGGACUAGCUACUCCUUCAUGGACAGACAGUGAGUUCAAAUCAUUGUUAAGACAGCACAUGGACUCAAUAGUGACAGAGUCAGUCAGAUUGGACUUGAUUAAAAAAUUUUGUAUUGAUCCAGAAAAAGUAUGGUCAAUUGAAGAAUGUAAAAAGGUACUAGGAUCAUGUAUUCGCAAAAACAAUGUGAAAGGCAUUAUCUGCUGCCACAGAGAAAUUGGUUUAGCACUAGCUAUGCAACAUUCUCAGCGUACCUCAGAACUAGAGGAACAGAACAAAGAGCUCUGAGCUAGAGUAUCCUCUUUGACUAAGAAAUUGAAUCGCAACAAAGCUGCAGCAAAAACUGUGGAAGAAGUUAGUCAGACUGAUAACAAUUAUCCUGACUUACAAGCUUUCUUUGAAACAGAUGUAGCCCUCCAGUCAGUAACUGAUGUGCCUGUAGAUUCAGUAAAGGUAUGUGCUACUUGGAAAAGAAACUCUGAUGUCAAAGCCAGAGUAAAGACUGCAGCAGCAUCUUUUCAGGUCAAAACAGAGAACCAACAGAAACAUAUAAGUCCUAAGAAGGAGGGCAGUUGUCAUUUUUGUGGUAAAACUGGACACUGGAUGAAAGUGUAGAAAAAGCAAGAAGACAUUAAGAGAAAUGAACAGCUUUACUCAGCUCCUACUCAGUCAACUUACCACUCUGAAGCUGCCCCUCCCCACAUCACCUAACUGUUGGAGCAGCUUGCUCAGGUGUUAACUGUAAGUGCUGUGGGUGCUUAACUUCCCCGGUAAUGUACAACAAAGAUGAAACAUCCUUUGUAAAUACGUUGACUGUCACGUCCUUUCAUUGAGAAAACGUUAAGUACACUCACAGCCUUCAAAGCUAUACUAAAGCACACUCCAGUCACUCCUAUUCUUUUUGGGUUAUGAUGUCUUGUUAUAACUGAUGUUUCAUUAGAGGAUGGAGAUGUCACACAGUAAAAUUCGCACACCAGCUACAGGGACAGACUAGGACACACACAGACCAGUGAGGAGCCCAGGGAAGAACCGAAGUGCAACAGGCCUCUGGGGCCAACCCUGUGGUGAAGACUUCCUCAUAGGUUUCCCCUGUCCGUAGUUUUAUCCCCACCUCACUGGUCCAUAGGUGUCAAAUUACUUAAAACUAGGUUGAGAAAAACCCUAUACGAUCACCAGAUUUAAAACCACUAUACGAUCUACAGAAGUCUAAAAAUGUCUAUGCAAGAAUACUGCUGGUCUGCUGUUUCUUUGUUUUCUUUUGUUGCAGGUAUGUGUGCAUGAGAAGUCAUUUCCAUAUGUGACACCCUGGUGUAAAGCAUCACUUCAGACAUCCAUGAACAAGCUUCAUGAGGACAAAGAGUCAUCUGAGUGAAUCUACAUGCGAAAUGGACUACAGAAAACAGACUUCACAGCUAUUCGGAUGCCAUGGACUUCAAGACUUCCACUCUUAUGCUACAUGAUUUUUUCUGUGUCAUCAUGUAGUUUUUACAACGUGUUACUAUCCAUGCUAUAUGUGUCAACAGUUAUGGUUCUAAAAAUACACCUAAGUAAAUCUAGUACAAGACACAGAAUAAGUUAUACGUGCCUGUAGCCUUUUCAAGUUACAUGACUGAAGAUGGGGCUUAUGUUAAGAAACAUAGGCCAUAGAAUGGACUUAUGAAAGUUUAAAUUUGUAUUAUGUGAGAGUUAUUAGAACUCUCAAUGGGAGGACUGUGGGAUUACAAAUUUAUAAAAUGUUAAAUCUAGGUUCCAAUAUAAUAGUAGUCUUUUUGGGGUAAUAAAGCUGACAUCCAAGAAGCUCAAAUCAGGAAAAUCAAGUGUCUGAGACAUUAACCUUUUGUCUUUGUGCUCUUCCUUGCCAUUUGGCUUUUUAAGCUCAAGGCACAGCUGUGCCUUUUGUCUCUAUGAUAAUGUGAAGGUAUCAGCGAUAC